This 407-nucleotide ribosomal RNA is filed under the name uncultured bacterium. RNAcentral describes it as "partial 16S ribosomal RNA". It matches the Rfam family "Bacterial small subunit ribosomal RNA", at positions 29 to 526 of the family's 1533-position model. The record is from RNAcentral.
AAUGAACGCUGGCGGCAGGCCUAACACAUGCAAGUCGAGCGGAGCGGCGGACGGGUGAGUAAUGCCUAGGAAUCUGCCUUGUAGUGGGGGAUAACGUCCGGAAACGGGCGCUAAUACCGCAUCCUAUCAGAUGGGACUAGGUCGGAUUAGCUCGUGGGGGGGGGAAAGGCUUACCACGGCGACGAACCGUAACUGGUCUGGGAGGAGGAUCAGUCAAACUGGAACUGAGACACGUUCCAGACUCCUACGGGAGGAAGCAGUGGGGAAUAUUGGACAAUGGGCGAAAGUCUGAUCCAGCGAUGCCGCGGGUGUGAAGAAGGUCUUCGGAUUGUAAAGCACUGUCAGUUGGGAGGCGUUACCAACAGAAUAAGCACCGGCUAACUUCGUGCCAGCAGCCGCGGUAAUAC